RNAcentral lists this ribosomal RNA (917 nucleotides) under uncultured archaeon. RNAcentral's name for it is "bacterial SSU rRNA". It matches the Rfam family "Archaeal small subunit ribosomal RNA", at positions 1 to 923 of the family's 1478-position model. The record is from RNAcentral.
UUCCGGUUGAUCCUGCCGGAGGUCACUGCUAUUGGGAUUCGACUAAGCCAUGCGAGUCGAGAGGGUUCGGCCCUCGGCAGACGGCUCAGUAACACGUGGAUAAUCUGCCCUUAGGUGGAAGAUAACCUCGGGAAACUGAGAAUAAUAUUCCAUAGAUCUAAGAUGCUGGAAUGCACUUAGAUUUAAAGCUUCGGCGCCUAAGGAUGAGUCUGCGGACUAUCAGGUAGUAGUCAGGGUAAAGGCCUGACUAGCCUACGACGGAUACGGGUUGUGAGAGCAAUAACCCGGAGACGAUAUCUGAGACACGAUAUCGGGCCCUACGGGGCGCAGCAGGCGCGAAAACUUCACAAUGUGCGAAAGCACGAUGAGGGAAUCCCAAGUGCUUGCUCGUAAGAGUAAGCUGUUUUUAUGUCUAAAAUGCAUAGAGAGUAAGGGCUGGGUAAGACGGGUGCCAGCCGCCGCGGUAAUACCUGCAGCUCAAGUGGUGACCGCUAUUAUUGGGCCUAAAACGUUCGUAGCCGGUUUAUUAAAUGCCUGGGUAAAUCGUGUAGCUUAACUAUACGAAUUCCGGGUAGACUGAUAGACUUGAGACCGGGAGAAGCUAGAGGUACUCCUGGGGUAGAGGUGAAAUUCUGUAAUCCUGGGGGGACCACCAGUGGCGAAGGCGUCUAGCUAGAACGGGUCUGACGGUGAGGAACGAAGCCCUGGGGCGCAAACCGGAUUAGAUACCCGGGUAGUCCAGGGUGUAAACGCUGCUUGCUUGAUGUUAGUUGGGCUCCGAGCCCAAUUAGUGUCGGAGAGAAGUUGUUAAGCAAGCUGCCUGGGAAGUACGAUCGCAAGAUUGAAACUUAAAGGAAUUGGCGGGGGAGCACAGCAACGGGUGGAGCGUGCGGGUUUAAUUGGAUUCAACGCCGGAA